Molecule: non-coding RNA, 501 nt
Organism: Candoia aspera
Lineage: Eukaryota; Metazoa; Chordata; Lepidosauria; Squamata; Candoiidae
Source: the annotation of a RefSeq genome assembly
AUGAUCCUGUGGCUCAAUUUGGUUUCCUUACUGGCAGUCCUCAGAGGUGUCCUGUCAGAGGCCCAGUUGGUGGAGUCCGGAGGGGACGUGAGAAGGCCUGGAGAGUCCCUCCAUCUCACCUGCCAAGGCUCCGGAUUCAGCUUCAGCAGCUACUACAUGGGCUGGGUGAGACAGGCCCCUGGAAAAGGGCUGGAAUGGGUGGCAUACAUAAGCUCUGGUUCUGGUUCCAGUACUUACUACUCGGACAAAAUCAAGGGACGCUUCACCAUCUCCAGGGACAACUCCAAAAGCCAACUCUAUCUGCAAAUGAACAGCCUGAAGCCAGAGGACUCGGCAGUCUAUUACUGUGCGAGGGACACAGUGAGAGGAAGGGGCAGUGUUGUCACACUGAAUGGCUUUCUCUAUGUGUGGGAACGUAGUCAAGGGAACCACUGUGGAGCCACCAUCCUGAUCUCCGAUCUGCCAUCCUUGCCAUGUCCGGGCUCUAACGUCGCUAUUUAA